UGAGCAAUCUGCCCUUCUCAUCGGAAUAAGCGUUGGAAACGACGUCUAAUGCCGAAUACGACCUCCUUUCGCAUGAUCGGAGGUGGAAAGCUCCGGCGGAGAAGGAUGAGCUCGCGGCCUAUCAGCUAGUUGGUGUGGGUAAUGGCCCACAAGGCGACGACGGGUAGCCGGCCUGGAGAGGGUGACCGGCCACACUGGGACUGAGACACGGCCCAGACCUCCUACGGGAGCAG
This 233-nucleotide ribosomal RNA is filed under the name uncultured bacterium. Its description in RNAcentral is "partial 16S ribosomal RNA". It matches the Rfam family "Bacterial small subunit ribosomal RNA", at positions 118 to 347 of the family's 1533-position model. The record is from RNAcentral.